CGAACGGGUGAGUAACGCGUGAGGAACCUGCCUCAAAGAGGGGGACAACAGUUGGAAACGACUGCUAAUACCGCAUAAGCCCACGGGUCGGCAUCGACCUGAGGGAAAAGGAGCAAUCCGCUUUGAGAUGGCCUCGCGUCCGAUUAGCUAGUUGGUGAGAUAACGGCCCACCAAGGCGACGAUCGGUAGCCGGACUGAGAGGUUGAACGGCCACAUUGGGACUGAGACACGGCCCAG
RNAcentral lists this ribosomal RNA (237 nucleotides) under uncultured bacterium. RNAcentral's name for it is "partial 16S ribosomal RNA". It matches the Rfam family "Bacterial small subunit ribosomal RNA", at positions 99 to 334 of the family's 1533-position model. The record is from RNAcentral.